AAUUUGAAUGAGCAACCAAUCUUAGCGCCUUGACCUUAUCCUCUUUUAAUGCCCCAUUUAUUACAUGAGAAAAUGUUUCUCAUGAAAUCACUCAUGCACAAAUUAAGCCACGCCCUCCUCUUCUCACGCCCUUAGUGGAUAGGGAUAAAUUGAUUUCUAUUUGAAUUCAAAAUUUGAUUUGAAUUCAAAUGUGCAAUUACUCAUCUUUAUCCUCUCACGUGGAUAAGACGUUUGACAUUGUUUUAAAAGGAGGAGAAGAGUGGGGCGUGUGCAAGAAAAAUUUUGAAGAGAAAAUCUGGGUGUGAGGAAUCCUUGUGUGUAAGGUGA
RNAcentral lists this long non-coding RNA (327 nucleotides) under Elaeis guineensis (African oil palm). RNAcentral's name for it is "long non-coding RNA (EGUI_LNC035989)". Lineage: Eukaryota; Viridiplantae; Streptophyta; Magnoliopsida; Arecales; Arecaceae. The record is from RNAcentral.